UGUGCUCCUUUGUGCAGUUGAGGAAAAGG
RNAcentral lists this non-coding RNA (29 nucleotides) under Homo sapiens (human). Lineage: Eukaryota; Metazoa; Chordata; Mammalia; Primates; Hominidae. The record is from RNAcentral.